AGUGAACGCUGGCGGUAGGCCUAACACAUGCAAGUCGAACGGCAGCACAGUAAGAGCUUGCUCUUACGGGUGGCGAGUGGCGGACGGGUGAGGAAUAUAUCGGAAUCUACUUUUUGGUGGGGGAUAACGUAGGGAAACUUACGCUAAUACAGCAUACGACCUACGGGUGAGAGCAGGGGAUCUUCGGACCUUGCGGGGUUGAAUGAGCCGAUGUCGGAUUUGUUAGUUGGGGGGGGAAUGGCCAAGCAAGGCGACGAUCGGUAGCUGGUCUGAGAGAAUGGUCGGCCACCUGGGAACUGGAACACCGACCAUACUCCUACGGGAGGCCGCAGUGGGGAAUGUUGGACAGUGGUCGCAAACAUGAUCCAGCCAUACCGCGUCUGAGAAAAAGGCCUUCGGGGUGUAAAGACGGUUUGUUGGGUAAGAAAAGCAGCAGCUUAAUACCCCGCGGUUCUGACGGUACCCAAAGAAUAAGCACCGGCUAACUUCGUG
RNAcentral lists this ribosomal RNA (492 nucleotides) under uncultured bacterium. Its description in RNAcentral is "partial 16S ribosomal RNA". It matches the Rfam family "Bacterial small subunit ribosomal RNA", at positions 29 to 507 of the family's 1533-position model. The record is from RNAcentral.